Molecule: non-coding RNA, 18 nt
Filed under: Mus musculus (house mouse)
Lineage: Eukaryota; Metazoa; Chordata; Mammalia; Rodentia; Muridae
Source: RNAcentral
GGGAUGCUCACCUGUGUG